RNAcentral lists this ribosomal RNA (94 nucleotides) under uncultured bacterium. RNAcentral describes it as "partial 16S ribosomal RNA". It matches the Rfam family "Bacterial small subunit ribosomal RNA", at positions 986 to 1081 of the family's 1533-position model. The record is from RNAcentral.
UGCGCGUGAACGGUCCGGAGACGGACUUUCCCUUCGGGGCACAAAGCAAGGUGCUGCAUGGCUGUCGUCAGCUCGUGCCGUGAGGUGUUGGGUU